UGGUGUAGCGGUGAAAUGCGCAGAUAUCAGGAGGAACACCGGUGGCGAAGGCGGGACUCUGGGCUGUAACUGACACUGAGGAGCGAAAGCAUGGGGAGCGAACAGGAUUAGAUACCCUGGUAGUCCAUGCCGUAAACGUUGGGCACUAGGUGUGGGGGGCAUUCCACGUUCUCCGCGCCGUAGCUAACGCAUUAAGUGCCCCGCCUGGGGAGUACGGUCGCAAGGCUAAAACUCAAAGGAAUUGACGGGGGCCCGCACAAGCGGCGGAGCAUGCGGAUUAAUUCGAUGCAACGCGAAGAACCUUACCAAGGCUUGACAUACACCAGACCGUCCUGGAAACAGGUCCUCUUCUUUGAAGCUGGUGUACAGGUGGUGCAUGGUUGUCGUCAGCUCGUGUCGUGAGAUGUUGGGUUAAGUCCCGCAACGAGCGCAACCCUCGUUCUAUGUUGCCAGCACGUGAUGGUGGGAACUCAUAGGAGACUGCCGGGGUCAACUCGGAGGAAGGUGGGGAUGACGUCAAAUCAUCAUGCCCUUUAUGUCUUGGGCUUCACGCAUGCUACAAUGGCUGGUACAGAGAGAGGCGAACCCGUGAGGGCAAGCGAAUCCCUUAAAGCCAGUCUCAGUUCGGAUCGUAGUCUGCAAUUCGACUACGUGAAGUCGGAGUCGCUAGUAAUCGCAGAUCAGCAACGCUGCGGUGAAUACGUUCCCGGGCCUUGUACACACCGCCCGUCAAGUCACGAAAGUCGGUAACACCCGAAGCCGGUGGCCUAACCCCUUGUGGGAGGGGGCCGUCUAAGGUGGGACUGGUGA
This 810-nucleotide ribosomal RNA is filed under the name Brevibacterium sp. NFM-2. RNAcentral describes it as "bacterial SSU rRNA". It matches the Rfam family "Bacterial small subunit ribosomal RNA", at positions 671 to 1474 of the family's 1533-position model. Lineage: Bacteria; Bacillati; Actinomycetota; Actinomycetes; Micrococcales; Brevibacteriaceae. The record is from RNAcentral.